This is a long non-coding RNA of Silurus meridionalis, 877 nucleotides long. RefSeq lists it as uncharacterized. The transcript is spliced from 3 exons. NCBI's taxonomy places the organism in Eukaryota, Metazoa, Chordata, Actinopteri, Siluriformes, Siluridae. The record is from RefSeq and is a predicted model, not a curated record.
CUCAAGUUCCAGCUGUGGAGGAGAAACCAGCUGCAGCUCAAGUUCCAGCUGUAGAGGAGAAACCAGCUGCAGCUCAAGUUCCAGCUGUGGAGGAGAAACCAGCACAAGUUUAGAAUUCAGUAAAAGCUCCUUCAGCAUCUGCUUUAAAGGACGAUGAGUGGACAUCUCGUCUGCGGCGGUAGAGGACGAUGAGUGGACGUCUCGUCUGCGGCGGUAGAGGACGAUGAGUGGAUGUCUCGUCUGCAGCGGUAGAGGAAGAUGAGUGGACGUCUCGUCUGCGGCGGUAGAGGACGAUGAGUGGACGUCUCGUCUGCGGCGGUAGAGGCGAUGAGUGGACGUCUGUCUGCGGCGGUUUGGCUCUGAAGCUGGAAACACACCUGCUCCUAGUCAGAAGAAAUGGUUGGAUCUGUUUUAUAAGAGUGAGAAAUGUCCAGUGCAGGUCCACGACCAGUCGAAACUUUCCGGUGGACCACAGAAACGUCUUUGUGGAUUCCACCCUCCUAAAGUGUUCAUUUCAGACUUUCAGGUGAUCAUCUCUUUCAUGUCACGUCACUGUGGACCUGCACAACUAUAUUUGUGACCACACUCAUGUGCUUUAAAUGUCCUCUGCUGUGGGAUGCAGAAAUACUUGUUGCAAUAUUUAUUUUUAAUAUCCUCUCUUUAGCGCCCGCCAGAGUUUCCUCACACCUCCACUCGCGCACCGCUGCUACAGUUUACAUCCCUAAUCAUAUAGAACAAUAUCUGCUUUAUCUAUUCCCAUUUCUCAUCCAGUGAUCAAAUAGUGGAAGCACUGAGAUCAGUGUAAAAGACUUUGGUUUUUGCUCAAGUGUGUUAAAGUGUGUUAUAUUUAUAGAUCUUCAUUUCACUUCACUUCUGC